UACGGGGGGGGCAAGCGUUGUUCGGAAUUACUGGGCGUAAAGGGCUCGUAGGCGGCCAACUAAGUCGGACGUGAAAUCCCUCGGCUUAACCGGGGAACUGCGUCCGAUACUGGAUGGCUGGAGGUUGGGAGAGGGAUGCGGAAUUCCAGGUGUAGCGGUGAAAUGCGUAGAUAUACGGAGGAACACCAGAGGCGAAGGCGGAUCGCUGGGCCAACACUGACGCUGAGACGCGAAAGCUAGGGUAGCAAACGGG
Molecule: ribosomal RNA, 253 nt
Filed under: uncultured bacterium
Lineage: Bacteria
Description: partial 16S ribosomal RNA
Rfam family: Bacterial small subunit ribosomal RNA
Source: RNAcentral